Marmota flaviventris (yellow-bellied marmot) is the source of this 346-nucleotide long non-coding RNA. RefSeq lists it as uncharacterized. Lineage: Eukaryota; Metazoa; Chordata; Mammalia; Rodentia; Sciuridae. The record is from RefSeq and is a predicted model, not a curated record.
AACUGCAAGCCAAGGAGAGAGACCUCAGGAGAACCAACCUUGUCCACACCUCAACCUUGGACUUCCAGCCUCCAGGGCGGAGAGAGGACAGAUGUCCACUGAUGAAGCCCCGGUCUGCAGCCCUAGCCAGCUAACACACCUUCUCCUCUCAUCAGCCGUCCAGGCUGCCCCGCUCUGCUUCCUAAACAUCUCCGAGGACUCAGAUCUCUCACAGCAGACAACUUUCAAGAAAUACAACUGAGGCCCCAACAGCACAGAACUCAUGCCUCCUAAAGGUCUGCUCUAAAUCCAGGAUGGCCUCAUUUUGAUAUCCUUGACAAAUUAAAUCUGCAGAUUCUACUUCCAA